Molecule: long non-coding RNA, 666 nt
Organism: Corvus hawaiiensis (hawaiian crow)
Lineage: Eukaryota; Metazoa; Chordata; Aves; Passeriformes; Corvidae
Exons: 3
Source: RefSeq, a predicted model, not a curated record
CCCAGAUCCUCCCCCAGCAGGGCAGCUGACUGUCCUCUCAGCCCCGUGGUGUCACCCCUCAGACACAUCACCCCUGUGGGUGGCCAGCUCUGUGGUGGACACCUCCUAUCUGGGCUUUUAGGGUCUCAGCACGCUGUUUCAUUCUGGGGAGCCAUGUAGCUUCUCUCUGAGAAGUCCCUUGUCCUCUCUCUGUGACACAGUGCUUCUCAUCACCUGAGGACCUGCUGGUGGGACAGCAAGAUCCCCAGGGAGCCUGGUUGGAUGUGAUGGGGGAUGUUCUGGGUCAGUGGUAUCAUGCCAGGAGAGGUGGCUCCUUGUUGGGGGGAAACUGAGGCACGCAUGGACUGGUGGUUUCAUGAACAUCAGCAGCAGAGCCAGGGAGGGCACCAGGAGUCUGAGCUCACCUCCUGCCCAGGACUCAGGGUGAGGAACCAGGAGGACCUGACACAGCGUAAUGGGGCUGCUCGCGAGGCGCCGUGCGAUUUGUCACAGGCCUCGUUCCCUGAUAACGGGCAUUUGUCAUCACUUUCUUCCCGUGUUAAUGUCAUCAUCGGCGAGCUGACAGGCAGACCCGUUGAGGGAGCACUGGCGACAGACCACAUCCGUCAACCUAAUAUUUCCAUGGCUGUGGGGAUCAGCCGGGCUGCGAACACACAUUAAAGUGCU